UGGGGAAUAUUGCACAAUGGGCGCAAGCCUGAUGCAGCCAUGCCGCGUGUGUGAAGAAGGCCUUCGGGUUGUAAAGUACUUUCAGUCGGGAGGAAGGUGGUAAGGUUAAUAACCUUGGCAAUUGACGUUACCGACAGAAGAAGCACCGGCUAACUCCGUGCCAGCAGCCGCGGUAAUACGGAGGGUGCAAGCGUUAAUCGGAAUUACUGGGCGUAAAGCGCACGCAGGCGGUUGAUUGAGUCAGAUGUGAAAUCCCCGGGCUUAACCCGGGAAUUGCAUCUGAUACUGGUCAGCUAGAGUCUUGUAGAGGGGGGUAGAAUUCCAGGUGUAGCGGUGAAAUGCGUAGAGAUCUGGAGGAAUACCGGUGGCGAAGGCGGCCCCCUGGACGAAGACUGACGCUCAGGUGCGAAAGCGUGGGGAGCAAACAGG
RNAcentral lists this ribosomal RNA (429 nucleotides) under Chloroflexota bacterium. RNAcentral's name for it is "Chloroflexi bacterium partial 16S ribosomal RNA". It matches the Rfam family "Bacterial small subunit ribosomal RNA", at positions 355 to 776 of the family's 1533-position model. The record is from RNAcentral. Lineage: Bacteria; Bacillati; Chloroflexota.